Non-coding RNA from Dipodomys ordii (Ord's kangaroo rat), 592 nucleotides. Lineage: Eukaryota; Metazoa; Chordata; Mammalia; Rodentia; Heteromyidae. The record is from the annotation of a RefSeq genome assembly.
CCUGACCUGAGCUCUGUGAGCUGAUUCCACCAGUGACUGAGCACAGACCACCACCAUGGAGCUGGGGCUGCGCUGGGUUCUCCUUGUUGCUCUGUUGAAAGGUGUGCAGUGUGAGGUGCAGCUGGUAGAGUCUGGGGGAGGCUUGGUACAGCAUGGGGGGUCCCUGAGACUCUCCUGUACAGCCUCUGGAUUCGACUUCAGUGAUUACUACAUGCACUGGAUCCGCCAGGCUCCAGGGAAGGGGCUGGAGUGGGUUGCACAAAUUAAUCCAAAUAGUGGAAGCACAUGGUAUGCAGACUCUGUGAAUGGCCGGUUCACCAUCUCCAGUGACAACAGUAAAAGCACGCUGUACCUGCAAAUGAGCAGCCUGAGAACCGAGGACACGGCCCUGUAUUACUGUGCAAGAGACACAGUGAGAGGAGCCCUGUGGGAGCCCAGACACAAACAUGCACACAGCCUGAGGCCAGCAAGGGGCGCUGAGCCCUCGUCAGCUGCAGGUGUGGCUCAGCACAGAGACUCCAGGCUUCCUGCUGAGCACAGACUGGGCCCGGCUGUGGGAGUGGUGACCGCAGACUCCCGGAGCUCGCGCUGA